RNAcentral lists this ribosomal RNA (253 nucleotides) under uncultured Eubacteriales bacterium. Its description in RNAcentral is "uncultured Clostridiales bacterium partial 16S ribosomal RNA". It matches the Rfam family "Bacterial small subunit ribosomal RNA", at positions 524 to 776 of the family's 1533-position model. The record is from RNAcentral. Lineage: Bacteria; Bacillati; Bacillota; Clostridia; Eubacteriales.
UACGGAGGAUGCGAGCGUUAUCCGGAAUUACUGGGUGUAAAGGGAGCGUAGACGGCGAGGUAAGCCUGAAGUGGAAGCCCGCGGCCCAACCCCGGAACUGCUCUGGAAACUGUGAAGCUGGAGUGCAGGAGAGGUAAGCGGAAUUCCUGGUGUAGCGGUGAAAUGCGUAGAUAUCAGGAGGAACACCGGCGGCGAAGGCGGCUUACUGGACUGUAACUGACACUGAGGCUCGAAAGCGUGGGGAGCAAACAGG